Molecule: ribosomal RNA, 440 nt
Filed under: uncultured bacterium
Lineage: Bacteria
Description: partial 16S ribosomal RNA
Rfam family: Bacterial small subunit ribosomal RNA
Source: RNAcentral
CCUACGGGUGGCAGCAGUGGGGGAUAUUGCACAAUGGGGGAAACCCUGAUGCAGCGACGCCGCGUGUGGGAAGACGGUCCUCUGGAUUGUAAACCACUGUCCCCAGGGACGAAGAUGACGGUACCUGGGGAGGAAGCUCCGGCUAACUACGUGCCAGCAGCCGCGGUAAUACGUAGGGAGCGAGCGUUUUCCGGAAUUACUGGGUGUAAGGGGAGCGUAGGCGGGACUGCAAGUUGGGGGUAAAAUCUACCGGCUCAACCGGUAGCCGCACUCAAAACUGCAGUUCUUGAGUGAAGUAGAGGCAGGCGGAAUUCCUAGUGUAGCGGUGAAAUGCGUAGAUAUUAGGAGGAACACCAGUGGCGAAGGCGGCCUGCUGGGCUUUUACUGACGCUGAGGCUCGAAAGUGUGGGGAGCAAACAGGAUUAGAUACCCCUGUAGUC